RNAcentral lists this ribosomal RNA (523 nucleotides) under uncultured bacterium. RNAcentral's name for it is "bacterial SSU rRNA". It matches the Rfam family "Bacterial small subunit ribosomal RNA", at positions 791 to 1310 of the family's 1533-position model. The record is from RNAcentral.
UAGUCCACGCCGUAAACGAUGACAACUAGCCGUUGGGCUCCUUGAGGGCUUAGUGGCGCAGCUAACGCGAUAAGUUGUCCGCCUGGGGAGUACGGCCGCAAGGUUAAAACUCAAAUGAAUUGACGGGGGCUCACACAAGCGGUGGAGGAUGUGGCUUAAUUCGAGGAUACGCGAAGAACCUUACCUAGACUUAACAUGCUUGGGAACGUCUGUGAAAGCAGAAAGUGCCUUUCGGGGAACCCUUGCGUAGGUGCUGCAUGGCUGUCGUCAGCUCGUGUCGUGAGAUGUCGGGUUAAGUCCCUUAACGAGCGAAACCCUUGUCCUUAGUUGCCAGCGAGUAAUGUCGGGGACUCUAAGGAGACUGCCGGUGUUAAACCGGGGGAAGGUGGGGAUGACGUCAAGUCAGCAUGCCCCUUACGCUCUGGGCUACACACGUGCUACAAUGGUCGUGACAAAGAGUUGCUAGUCUGCGAAGGCAAGCCAAUCUCAUAAACGCGGCCUUAGUUCGGAUUGCAGGCUGAAA